AGUGAACGCUGGCGGUCGGCCAAACACAUGCAAGUCGAACGGCAGCACAGUAAGAGCUUGCUCUUACGGGUGGCGAGUGGCGGACGGGUGAGGAAUCCAUCGGAAUCUACUUUUUCGUGGGGGAUAACGUAGGGUAACUUACGCUAAUACCGCAUACGACCUACGGGUGAAAGCAGGGGAUCUUCGGACCUUGCGCGAUUGAAUGAGCCGAUGUCGGAUUCGCUAGUUGGCGGGGUAAAGGCCCACCCAGGCGACGAUCCGUAGCUGGUCUGAGAGGAUGAUCAGCCACACUGGAACUGAGACACGUUCCAGACUCCUACGGGAGGCGGCAGUGUGGAAUAGUGGACAGUGGUCGCAAGCCUGAUCCAGCCGUACCGCGUGGGUGAAGAAGGCCUUCUGGGUGUAAAGCCCAUUUGUUGGGAAAUAAAAGCAUCAGGUGAAUACCCCGCUGUUCUGACGGUACUCAAAGAAUAAGCACCGGCUAACUUCGUG
This 492-nucleotide ribosomal RNA is filed under the name uncultured bacterium. Its description in RNAcentral is "partial 16S ribosomal RNA". It matches the Rfam family "Bacterial small subunit ribosomal RNA", at positions 29 to 507 of the family's 1533-position model. The record is from RNAcentral.